GCUAUGUGCCGCCUUUGGAGGGACUGCCUAUCUUCAUUCUUCGACUGGCCACUGAGGUGAACUGGGAUGAAGAAAAGGAGUGUUUCGAAAGUCUCAGUAAAGAAUGUGCUGUGUUUUACUCCAUUCGGAAGCAAUACAUACUGGAGGAGUCAGCCCUCUCAGGCCAGCAGGUACUGUGGCAAUUAUGUACAUUGGCUUCCAGAACUGGGACAGGUCUCAUGUACUUUAGGAUGUGGGGCUUAAAUCACGGCUAAAACCUAUCAGUUCAGUUUAUAUUUACAAAGUUCAAACAGCAGCCCUCAAC
This 304-nucleotide long non-coding RNA is filed under the name Rattus norvegicus (Norway rat). RNAcentral describes it as "long non-coding RNA NONRATT029034". Lineage: Eukaryota; Metazoa; Chordata; Mammalia; Rodentia; Muridae. The record is from RNAcentral.